UGCUGCUCCUGCACGGGUGUCCUGCUGGUAUUCUCAGACGUGUCCUGUCUCGUCAACUCCAAGGCAAUAAAAGACAGUCAGUUCUCUGGCUCUUCUCAGGAGAAAUGGCCAAGUGUUGCUGUGAUACAUCCAAAGAAGGUCAUCUACUACCUUCAGGGAGAUGCUGGCACCCAGAGAAGCUUGCUUUAGAAAAAGCACCAGCUCCUUUUGCUACCAGAUGUCCUCUUUGGCAGUUUGAGUCAACGAGGAGUGAAGUGAUGAAGAAUGAAUGCAGUCUUCAAGUGGAGGCCUCAGGCCCCAAGUGGCAGCGGUGGAGACAGCAGAAGGGAAGUUCUCUAUUGCUGCUGCCUGCUGGGACUUGGAGUUGAUGUCAGUUCCUACUUACGUUGCUUGUCACCAGAAUCCAGCAGAGACAUUUGUGUGAACGUUCUCAUGUUCAGCAAACUUCCCCUGUUGGUUCCACGCAGGUCUCCUGGAGUACUACUUGCAGCCUUCACUGAGGGGUCUGUGGGUAUGAAGGCUAUGCAUAGCUUUACUUCAGCACCACUACGACUUCAGGCAGCAAAAGUUCUCUCCAGCUCUCAUCUCACUUACAGCAACAGCGCUGAAUAGGAUUGCCCCAGAUGGUCAGCUCUGGACUGAGCAAACUGAUUUAAGGGCUGGUGACUCUCAGAUUUCAGCAUCAUUGAGAUGUUUUUUGUUGUUGUGUUUGUUUGUUUUAAUGUAUUCAUUUUUAAAGUAUUUGAAUUACCUGCUCAAGACUUGGAUUUCACUAUUUCAGUUUUCCGGAACGCUUUCUCCCAUUCAGCCUAAGAUAACUUAAAGAAGACAAAUUUCCUUCUGUGCUAUAAUCCAGAGGUUUAAGUAGGUAUAAAAACACUACCUGUGUUGACCCCCAGGAAUUCAGUUAUGUGACUUCGACUCGGAGCAGCCACAUUCUGUCUCUGCCCCUUGCCUAGACUUUGCCGUCGUAAAAUCUGCAGCUAUGCUGUACUUGUUAUUGUGAUCUAAUGCUCCCUAGCAGUCUGGAAAUUACGGCCAUCAUGUGCAAGUGCUCACUACGGUAAGCUUGGUACUUUAGCACUGCCACAUCAAGGAAGUUAAUCCUCCACAAGGCAGCUGCUGCUCUCAGCUCUGCUAGUAGAAAUGUUCUUGGGCUUUAGCUUUGUGUUACAGCUCCA
This is a long non-coding RNA of Oxyura jamaicensis (ruddy duck), 1181 nucleotides long. RefSeq lists it as uncharacterized. The transcript has 2 exons. The record is from RefSeq and is a predicted model, not a curated record. Lineage: Eukaryota; Metazoa; Chordata; Aves; Anseriformes; Anatidae.